RNAcentral lists this transfer RNA (66 nucleotides) under Pogonus reticulatus. RNAcentral's name for it is "tRNA-Leu". Lineage: Eukaryota; Metazoa; Arthropoda; Insecta; Coleoptera; Carabidae. The record is from RNAcentral.
AUUAAUUAUUUUGGCAGAUUAGUGCAAUGAAUUUAGAAUUCAUAUAUGUAAUUUUUUUUACAGAUA